AUGAUGUGGUUUAAUUCGAUGCAACGCGAAAACCUUACCACCUUUGACAUGUACGGAAUCCUUUAGAGAUAGAGGAGUGCUCGAAAGAGAGCCGUAACACAGGUGCUGCAUGGCUGUCGUCAGCUCGUGUCGUGAGAUGUUGGGUUAAGUCCCGCAACGAGCGCAACCCUUGUCAUUAGUUGCUACAUUCAGUUGGGCACUCUAAUGAGACUGCCGGUGACAAACCGGAGGAAGGUGGGGAUGACGUCAAGUCCUCAUGGCCCUUAUAGGUGGGGCUACACACGUCAUACAAUGGAUGGUACAGAGGGUCGCCAACCCGCGAGGGGGAGCCAAUCCCAUAAAGCCAUUCGUAGUCCGGAUCGCAGUCUGCAACUCGACUGCGUGAAGUCGGAAUCGCUAGUAAUCGUGGAUCAGAAUGUCACGGUGAAUACGUUCCCGGGUCUU
RNAcentral lists this ribosomal RNA (444 nucleotides) under uncultured Acidovorax sp. Its description in RNAcentral is "bacterial SSU rRNA". It matches the Rfam family "Bacterial small subunit ribosomal RNA", at positions 936 to 1382 of the family's 1533-position model. The record is from RNAcentral. Lineage: Bacteria; Pseudomonadati; Pseudomonadota; Betaproteobacteria; Burkholderiales; Comamonadaceae.